RNAcentral lists this transfer RNA (71 nucleotides) under Loxodonta africana (African savanna elephant). It matches the Rfam family "tRNA". From Rfam's summary of the family: Transfer RNA (tRNA) molecules are approximately 80 nucleotides in length. Their secondary structure includes four short double-helical elements and three loops (D, anti-codon, and T loops). Lineage: Eukaryota; Metazoa; Chordata; Mammalia; Proboscidea; Elephantidae. The record is from Rfam by way of RNAcentral.
GCAUUGGUGGUUCAGUGGCAGAAUUCUCGCCUUCCAUGCUGCAGAACCGGGUUUGAUUCCUGGCCAGUGUA